This is a non-coding RNA of Schizosaccharomyces pombe (fission yeast), 1939 nucleotides long. Lineage: Eukaryota; Fungi; Ascomycota; Schizosaccharomycetes; Schizosaccharomycetales; Schizosaccharomycetaceae. The record is from the annotation of a GenBank genome assembly.
AAAAAGUUUAAAACUCGAACAUCAUAUUCAGACAUUUCAUCCUCAACUUCUGAAGGUCCUGAACUUUCGAUGCUUACUUCCUCUAUUUUAUCAGAAUUUUCGGGAAUAGAAUUAUCGAUGUUAGCAUCUGUAGUACACGCUGUAGGUGAUUGGCCUAACAAGUCAUCUUCAUUCGUUUCUUCAUCUGAAAGUUCAAUAACACGAAGCGGCUUUUUCUUUUGCCCUUGUUUAGUUCCUUCUUCUACAUAACGUUUCCUUUUUGCGUUCUCCUUGUCUACCGAGGACUUUUCAAUGGGCUGGUUGUUCAGCUUUUGGGCUGACUUGUUGAUUGUCGAGUUACCUCGUCCUAGCAACUUCUGAAACGUAAGCUUAUGGAUAGUUAUGUUUUCCCUCCAGUUGAAUUUUUCUAAUGUUGCAAUUAUCAUUUCUGAAUCUAAGGCUGGAAAUCGUUUUUUUACAGCAUUAAUUUUCGUAAUUUGUUCGCUGUCAAAAAAGUUUGAGGGGUUUAUUUUGUUCGAAGAUUCUUUUAAACUCACAUCGCGUUCAGGAGGCUGAUCGUGAGGAUCGUACGCCGCGUAGCUGCUCUCAACAUACUUUUUAUGAUCGGUUGUGUCAAAAAAAAUACGAGAUUGCAUAGCCAACUGCCCAAAUUUUUUCCCGUUAGCCCUUGAGGAGGUAGUUGAAUAAUUUUUGAAACUUCCUGACAGGUCUAAUUGUUGAAUAGGACUACAUUCAAUGGGAGAGCUCGUAAGCAAAUAAUAAUUUUCUUCGCGUAUAGGAGUUGAAGGAGGUGAAGAGCUUGGUAUGCAAAUUAAUUCUUUAUUAUCUUUUCUCUUCAUGAAAACCCUCUCUUUUCUAUAAUCUAUUUCACUUAAUCUCUUAUUGUUUAAUUUGUGUUUUGAUCAAGUUUCGCUUUCGACUCAGGUGUUUAGCUGCUUAAGGAGCGCAACUACCUUAGCUUUAGAAGAGAAACCGAGAGUAUAUUAAUUUAGGCUGGAUAGAAUACUACGCUAAAACAUAAUUCCACAAAAUAUGAAAAAUUAAAUUUCUUAAAUUUUGUUGCCCACGAUUUAUAUUCUACUUUAUUUUCGAUCAAACUUCAGGUAUCAAGCCCGUGAAUUUAAUACUAGCGAAAUACAACAUUUACUUGUUGAGUAAAUUUGAAGCCGCAUACACAUCUGAAUUAAUUUUAGUUAAUUAUCUCGUACUUUCUGUGCAAAGUAUCAUAUCAGGGUAUCGACUAUUCUAAUAAAUUUAUUUUCCCACAUAAAAACCUAAACCAUUCACCAGUUUAAAACAAAACACGCGUAACUAAUACCUAUUUCCUAAAUUUCUUCUUGGAAGAAGGCUUUUCUUUUGUUUUUUUAUCUGAAGCGUCCAAAGAAUUAUUUUUUCUCUUUUCCCCUUUAAUGCUGACCACCCUAGCGCCUUUUCCAUUUGUCUUUUGGAUUUGAUUUUCUGCAGCCUUCCAAUCCUCUUCGUUUCCACGAAUGGCAUAUUUUUCCAAAUCUAUAGCAUUGAUCAACUCUCUUUGCUUUUCACGUAAAGCAAGCAUAGCCUCAUCUGCUCCUUCCUGUAGCUCUUCCUCCAAGGAUUGCUGGAGAGGAGUAAACUCAGGAAGUUUAGAAUUACUACUUUCCGUUUUCUUAUUCGAACCUAAUUCUUCUUCGAUGUCCUUCGUUUCAAUUUCAUCUAUACACUUCAUAAUUUUCUUGGACAACUUGACUAACAUCGCCAAUAAUUGGUUUGAGGGUAAGUUGAACUCCUUUUCAAGUGUAUCGAUAGUCUUAUACUGCAAUCCCAAAGCUAAUAAUACAGAUUGCUGAACUGGAGACAGCUUAACAGAAUCAGGGAAUUUACCGCUGAAGUAAAGAUGGGCCAACUUUGGAAGCAAAUCAACAAUAACAUGGUAAUCGAGCAAAUUAUUAGAAUAAGACUC